Molecule: ribosomal RNA, 253 nt
Filed under: uncultured bacterium
Lineage: Bacteria
Description: partial 16S ribosomal RNA
Rfam family: Bacterial small subunit ribosomal RNA
Source: RNAcentral
GACAGAGGGUGCAAACGUUGCUCGGAAUCACUGGGCGGAAAGGGCGUGUAGGCGGGCAGGUAAGUCGGGCGUGAAAUCCCUGAGCUCAACUCAGGAACUGCACUCGAAACUACUUGUCUUGAGUACCGGAGAGGAAAGCGGAAUACCUGGUGUAGAGGUGAAAUUCGUAGAUAUCAGGUGGAACACCAGUGGCGAAGGCGGCUUUCUGGACGGUAACUGACGCUGAGACGCGAAAGCGUGGGGAGCAAACAGG